AUUACUAUUCAAGAAUUGGCAUUAACAUUUCAUUUGUAUGUCUGCUAUAGUUUCUGUUAUCCCAUAGGCAUGUGUGUUUCUUGUUUUCCUUCAGUUUUAUGCUAAACUGUACUUCGUAAAGACCGACAUUGAUACUGAAAAAUAUACAAUAAUCUGUUUAUAAGGCAUUUGGUUUCUUUUAAAACGUGAUUAAGUAACGAGAAUGGAUUUUUUGAAAUCGCAAAUAUGAUGCCGCAUUGGAUGACAGUUACCCUUCGAUGUUGGAUUGCAUUUAUUGCAUUUACAAAUUUCGGAGCUGCAUUUCGUUGCUUUACUCAGGAUAAUUUUGUUCAUUCAAAAUUUUUUGCCAUUGAUUCUCAGUUAUGGAAGUCUACUGGUUUUAAAAGUAAAGUUACCUUCUCCAUACCAGCGGCAAACCAUCUAGAACCCUGGAUGAUACAGUCAAAAGUGGUUAAUCCGGACUCUUCGGAUCUUCGGCAAUUCCGGAUUAUAGAUCAUCAGUUUAAAUCUGAAGGACCUGUACUUGAACACAUGUAUGGAUUUUGGUCACUUAUUAAUGGCAUUGUACUUUUAAAUUGCUUCUUUUUUAUUGACGAGAAGAAGAUCAUCGCUUUAGCAAUAUGUGUGAUAGUCAUUUAUUUAUGUUUCUUUGGCAUGGAAGCAUUCUUUCAUAAAACAGUAUUAAUCCAUGGUCCAACUAUUUAUCCAUGUGCACUAAGUGCAUUGACACUAAUAUGGUUGCUGGUUAGUUUGAAGUAUCUUUAUAGUCCACCUAAGGAAGAAGCCGAUGAAAAUGAGGUUUUAAGGAAAAAAUUUCCUUUUAAAAGUAUAUCUAAAAAGAUACGAUGACUUAGAUUUAAAUAUUUUUUAGUGGGUAUAAAAUCAUUUUGGUGUGUCUUCAUUCAUGGUUAAUUAACAAUACUCUUUCUGUAUUCUUUUUACAGAUUUAAAUUGAUGAUCUGUUAUCCGGAAAAAUCCCAAAUCCAGAAUCGCCGAAGUCCCGACCAGUCCGGAUUUCGGACUUUGUACUGUAGUACUUUCGUCUUCUUUAGAUUUGAAUAUCAAAGUCUAAGAACUGUUUUGAAGGGCAAUGCAUGGAUAAACAGGAAUUUAAUUAUAUGAGAAAAUUCAGUAAUUAAAACUCAUAUGUAUGCAUAACAUGAGAAUUAACCCCAAGAAUGUUAACUUAAAGUUAAUUACAGAUCUUUAUUUGGUUCACAUCCAACUGGAUUAUUACAAGCAUUUAAAUUCUUUAUUUUGUUAUUAAUUAUAUCCACUUCUCUCUCCUGUAUUCCAUGAAGGUACUUGUGAUAUAAAUCAUGCUGAACUACAAGAAGACUGCACCUUUCUAAAAGCAAUGAUCCAACAUAAUUGCUUUCUGUUUCCUAGAAAAAAAUAAGUAACAAUCUACAAGUCAUUUUUUAAACUACAGUUAUGUGUUGAUAUAGGUAUUCAUUUUUUAAAUUCUACUGAUGUAAAAUUAUUAAAUUAUUAAACCUUAUUUCAUUGGGUA
This is an RNA transcript of Stegodyphus dumicola, 1513 nucleotides long. RefSeq lists it as uncharacterized. The record is from RefSeq and is a predicted model, not a curated record. Lineage: Eukaryota; Metazoa; Arthropoda; Arachnida; Araneae; Eresidae.